CCUACGGGCGGCAGCAGUGAGGAAUAUUGGUCAAUGGACGCGAGUCUGAACCAGCCAAGUCGCGUGAAGGAUGACUGCCCUAUGGUUUGUAAACUUCUUUUAUAAAGGAGUAAAACGAGCCACGCGUGCCUUUUUGCAUGUACUUUAUGAAUAAGCAUCGGCUAACUCCGUGCCAGCAGCCGCGGUAAUACGGAGGAUUCGAGCGUUUUCCGGAUGUAUUGGGUUUAAAGGGAGCGUAGAUGGGUUGUUAAGUCAGUUGUGAAAGUUUGCGGCUUAACCGUAAAAUUGCAUUUGAUACUGGUAGUCUUGAGUACGGGUGAGGUAGGCGGAAUUCGUGGUGUAGCGGUGAAAUGCGUAGAUAUCACGAAGAACCCCGAUUGCGAAGGCAGCUUACUAACCUGUAACUGACGUUGAUGCGCGAAAGUGUGGGUAUCAAACAGGAUUAGAUACCCUUGUAGUC
This 460-nucleotide ribosomal RNA is filed under the name uncultured bacterium. RNAcentral's name for it is "partial 16S ribosomal RNA". It matches the Rfam family "Bacterial small subunit ribosomal RNA", at positions 338 to 795 of the family's 1533-position model. The record is from RNAcentral.